Molecule: ribosomal RNA, 1329 nt
Filed under: metagenome
Description: bacterial LSU rRNA
Rfam family: Bacterial large subunit ribosomal RNA
Source: RNAcentral
AAAAAAAGUAGCGAAGCAUGUGAGCCCUGUGCCGAGAAAAGCCGCUAUAGCUUUAUAUGUGCCCGUACCGUAAACCGACACAGGUGGAUGAGGAGAGAAUCCUAAGGCCGGCGGAAGAAGUAUUGUUAAGGAACUCGGCAAAAUGACCCCGUAACUUCGGGAGAAGGGGUGCCCACGGGAGUGGGCCGCAGAGAAUAGGCUCAAGCAACUGUUUAGCAAAAACACAGGUCUAUGCGAAACCGAAAGGUGAAGUAUAUUGGCUGACGCCUGCCCGGUGCUGGAAGGUUAAGAGGAGAGGUUAGAGCAAUCGAAGCUUUGAAUUUAAGCCCCAGUAAACGGCGGCCGUAACGAUAACGGUCCUAAGGUAGCGAAAUUCCUUGUCGGGUAAGUUCCGACCCGCACGAAAGGCGUAAUGAUUUGAGCACUGUCUCGACAAUACAUCCGGUGAAAUUGAAGUACCAGUGAAGAUGCUGGUUACCCGCGCCAGGACGGAAAGACCCCAUGGAGCUUUACUCCAGUUUGGUACUGGGAUUCGGUACUGCACGUACAGGAUAGGUGGGAGACUAAGAAACUUGAACGCCAGUUUGAGUGGAGUCGCUGUUGGGAUACCACCCCUGCAGUAUUGGAUUUCUAACCAGUCACCGUGAUCCGGUGAUGGGACAAUGCCAGGCGGGGAGUUUGACUGGGGCGGUCGCCUCCGAAAGGGUAUCGGAGGCGCUCAAAGGUUCCCUCAGAAUGGUCGGAAACCAUUUGAAGAGUGCAAAGGCAGAAGGGAGCUUGACUGCGACACCGACGGGUGGAGCGGGUAGGAAACUAGGACUUAGUGAUCCGGUGGCAUAAAGUGGGAUUGCCAUCGCUCAACGGAUAAAAGCUACCCUGGGAUAACAGGCUUAUCACUCCCAAGAGUUCACAUCGACGGAGUGGUUUGGCACCUCGAUGUCGGCUCAUCGCAUCCUGGGGCUGUAGCAGGUCCCAAGGGUUGGGCUGUUCGCCCAUUAAAGCGGUACGCGAGCUGGGUUCAGAACGUCGUGAGACAGUUCGGUCCCUAUCCGGCGCGGGCGGAGGAUAUUUGAGAGGAGCUGUCCUUAGUACGAGAGGACCGGGAUGGACGGACCACUGGUGUAUCUGCUGUCGGCCAACGGCAUGGCAGAGUAGCCAAGUCCGGAAGGGAUAAACGCUGAAGGCAUCUAAGCGUGAAGCCCCCCUCAAGAUGAGAUAUCCCUCACAUAAGUGGGUAAGAUCCCUUGAAGACUACAAGGUAGAUAGGGCAGAGGUGGAAGUGUGGCAACACAUGGAGCUGACUGUUACUAAUCGAUCGAGGGCUUGACC